RNAcentral lists this ribosomal RNA (1443 nucleotides) under Triticum aestivum (bread wheat). RNAcentral's name for it is "partial small subunit ribosomal RNA". Lineage: Eukaryota; Viridiplantae; Streptophyta; Magnoliopsida; Poales; Poaceae. The record is from RNAcentral.
AUGGAUGCCGUGCCGACGCUCUACUCCCUGGCGCAGUGCACGCCGGACCUCUCUGCGGGAGACUGCCUGGCAUGUCUCCAGCGGCUCAUCGGCAUGGUCAACGCCACCACGUCCAUGCGCCAGGGAGGACGGAUAUUCGUCCUGCGCUGCAACAUCAGGUUCGAGACGUUUAUGUUCUUCGACCAACCUAUGCGGCGGAUCAAUCCAUCCUCCAUCACUCGGGCUCCUCCAACAGGAAUCAAAGCAUGGAUAAUUGCAAUAUGUCUGGCUUCUGCUGUGGCACUAGCUGCUUUCUGCUUCAUGGUUUAUUGUCGUUGCCUCAGAGGAAGGAUCAGAAAACGUUCAGUGAGAUUGCGAGAAAGGCGUACUAUUAAGUUGCACGGAGGGGAUCAUGAACUAGUAUGGGAUAUGGAAACAGGAAUGUUAUCAGGGUUUUCGUUUUUUGAGUUUGAUCAGAUACAGGAGGCCACGGGUAACUUUUCUGAAGAAAAUAAACUUGGAGAAGGUGGAUUUGGCCGAGUAUACAAGGGACAUUUUCUUCAGGGAAUGGAGAUAGCAGUUAAGAGGCUUGCUUCACAUUCAGGACAAGGUUUGGCGGAGUUCAAAAAUGAAGUUCAGCUCAUAGCCAAGCUUCAACAUAGGAAUUUGGUGAGACUGCUGGGAUGUUGCUCUCAAGGAGAGGAAAAUAUACUGGUCUAUGAAUACAUGCCGAACAAAAGCUUGGACUUCUUCAUAUUUGAUGAACGCAGAAAAGCUUUAAUGGAUUGGAACAGACGUCUAUCAAUAAUUGAAGGAAUAGCAGAAGGCCUUCUUUAUCUACAUAAGCACUCUCGUCUGCGUGUUAUACAUCGAGAUCUUAAGCCAAGCAACAUUCUCUUGGACAAUGAAAUGAAUCCUAAAAUUUCGGAUUUUGGACUAGCAAAAAUAUUCAGCCCAAAUAACAACGAGGAAAACAGUACGAGAAGAGUAGUUGGUACAUAUGGUUACAUGGCUCCCGAGUAUGCUUCUGAAGGCCUAUUCUCUAUCAAAUCCGAUGUAUUCAGCUUUGGUGUUUUAGUUCUCGAGAUCCUUAGUGGGAAAAGGAAUUCCGGUAGCCAUCAAUGUGGUGAUUUCAUCAAUCUCCUCGGAUAUGCUUGGCAGUUAUGGGAAGACAGAAGAUGGAUUGAUAUCGUUGAUGCAUCACUUAAUUCAUUUCUUCCAAAGACUCACCCAACAGAAAUUAUGAGGUGCAUUAACAUUGCACUACUAUGUGUACAAGAGAAUGCAGUAGAUCGACCAAACAUGUUGGAUGUUACUGCAAUGCUAAGCAGCAAGACAAUGAUCCUACGUGAGCCUAAGCACCCACCGUAUUUCAAUCUAAGGGUUGGCAAUGAAGAGGAUACUUCUGCUACACAAUCGUGCAGUAUCAAUGGUGUUACGCUAUCUAUAGCAACUGCUCGAUAG